CUGCUGUUGGAAGCAGCUCUCUCUCCAAAGGGCUGUGGUUCCAGAUCUGAUUGGAGCUUGAUAGAUAUCAGAUGAAGCUGGAAUCCAGAGCUUUGCCAAAUCAUAUUGGUGCCACAAAACACUGGGAAUAGAGCUGGGACUUUGCCCCUCUGUCGUUGGCAUGCGUGCCUUCUCAGCCAAUCCGUGGACAGUCUUGUGCUCUAGAAACCAGCUGCUGGGUUCCAGUCCCAGCCCGACCACUUCCUAAUUGUGUGGUUUUUAUGCAGGUGACUUCACCUUUCCAGGCCGCAAUGAUCCUGGUCUGUAAAACGGGGCAGAUGAGUUCCUCCCUCACAGGGUGGUUGUGCCGAUGAAAAUACUUCCCAGAUCUAAAGUGCUUCGAGUGCUGCUGACCCUUGGUUGAUUGUCAGCUGUUCUGAGCAGUGAAGCCCAGAUGCCCAGAGUGUGCUGGCCACUUGGGUCUGAGACCAUCAGGGAGGACAGUGCUGACUGAUGGAAGAUGCAGAAUAACAGAGGGACAGAACCCGUAGCUGUGGUGUCACCGAGCUCCUGAAUUAACCCACGUGGAACCGCCUGCCUCUGGACCUGUUGUGUUGUGAUUUUCCUUGUCAUUUAAGUCAGUUGAAACCUCAGACAGUUCCUUAUCCCCUGACGAGACCCUACCAAGAUGCAGCAAAAGCCUCCUAAUCACUGUCCAUCCCCUUCUGUGGAUUGCUCCCCAGUUAGAGCAACGAUCCCCGUAUGGACAGCCGAGCGCACACCCCAGUUUGCCUGAG
Molecule: long non-coding RNA, 776 nt
Filed under: Marmota monax (woodchuck)
Lineage: Eukaryota; Metazoa; Chordata; Mammalia; Rodentia; Sciuridae
Source: RNAcentral